RNAcentral lists this ribosomal RNA (1271 nucleotides) under Escherichia coli. RNAcentral's name for it is "partial 23S ribosomal RNA". It matches the Rfam family "Bacterial large subunit ribosomal RNA", at positions 165 to 1479 of the family's 2925-position model. Lineage: Bacteria; Pseudomonadati; Pseudomonadota; Gammaproteobacteria; Enterobacterales; Enterobacteriaceae. The record is from RNAcentral.
CAUAGGUUAAUGAGGCGAACCGGGGGAACUGAAACAUCUAAGUACCCCGAGGAAAAGAAAUCAACCGAGAUUCCCCCAGUAGCGGCGAGCGAACGGGGAGCAGCCCAGAGCCUGAAUCAGUGUGUGUGUUAGUGGAAGCGUCUGGAAAGGCGCGCGAUACAGGGUGACAGCCCCGUACACAAAAAUGCACAUACUGUGAGCUCGAUGAGUAGGGCGGGACACGUGGUAUCCUGUCUGAAUAUGGGGGGACCAUCCUCCAAGGCUAAAUACUCCUGACUGACCGAUAGUGAACCAGUACCGUGAGGGAAAGGCGAAAAGAACCCCGGCGAGGGGAGUGAAAAAGAACCUGAAACCGUGUACGUACAAGCAGUGGGAGCACGCUUAGGCGUGUGACUGCGUACCUUUUGUAUAAUGGGUCAGCGACUUAUAUUCUGUAGCAAGGUUAACCGAAUAGGGGAGCCGAAGGGAAACCGAGUCUUAACUGGGCGUUAAGUUGCAGGGUAUAGACCCGAAACCCGGUGAUCUAGCCAUGGGCAGGUUGAAGGUUGGGUAACACUAACUGGAGGACCGAACCGACUAAUGUUGAAAAAUUAGCGGAUGACUUGUGGCUGGGGGUGAAAGGCCAAUCAAACCGGGAGAUAGCUGGUUCUCCCCGAAAGCUAUUUAGGUAGCGCCUCGUGAAUUCAUCUCCGGGGGUAGAGCACUGUUUCGGCAAGGGGGUCAUCCCGACUUACCAACCCGAUGCAAACUGCGAAUACCGGAGAAUGUUAUCACGGGAGACACACGGCGGGUGCUAACGUCCGUCGUGAAGAGGGAAACAACCCAGACCGCCAGCUAAGGUCCCAAAGUCAUGGUUAAGUGGGAAACGAUGUGGGAAGGCCCAGACAGCCAGGAUGUUGGCUUAGAAGCAGCCAUCAUUUAAAGAAAGCGUAAUAGCUCACUGGUCGAGUCGGCCUGCGCGGAAGAUGUAACGGGGCUAAACCAUGCACCGAAGCUGCGGCAGCGACGCUGAUGCGUUGUUGGGUAGGGGAGCGUUCUGUAAGCCUGUGAAGGUGUGCUGUGAGGCAUGCUGGAGGUAUCAGAAGUGCGAAUGCUGACAUAAGUAACGAUAAAGCGGGUGAAAAGCCCGCUCGCCGGAAGACCAAGGGUUCCUGUCCAACGUUAAUCGGGGCAGGGUGAGUCGACCCCUAAGGCGAGGCCGAAAGGCGUAGUCGAUGGGAAACAGGUUAAUAUUCCUGUACUUGGUGUUACUGCGAAGGGGGGACGGAGAA